Molecule: transfer-messenger RNA, 384 nt
Filed under: Anaeroplasmataceae
Lineage: Bacteria; Bacillati; Mycoplasmatota; Mollicutes; Anaeroplasmatales
Also listed under: 2 other names
Description: Pelethenecus faecipullorum Standard tmRNA
Rfam family: transfer-messenger RNA
About the family: Bacterial tmRNA, also known as 10Sa RNA or SsrA, is named for its dual tRNA and mRNA-like properties. Its role is to liberate the mRNA from a stalled ribosome.
Source: RNAcentral
GGGGUCGUUUUGGAUUCGCCGUGGUGAUGGAAGGUUUAUAAGCAUGUAGUGGUAGGCCACUUUAAAAAUGUCGAGGUUUCAAUAACCGCAAACAAUACACAUUUAUUCGCACGCUCCAACAAUAUGAGUGCUGCAUUUGCUUGCUAAGAUAAUUCAAGCAGCUGACUUGUUUUGUUUCCUAUAGCAAUUCAACUUCAGCCUUAUUUCAUAUAGGAUUUAUUUGUACGAUGCUAUUCUAAUCGUAUGAGUGAACAUAAACAGAAUGUAGUUGGUUUUGGCUUGUUUGUUCGCUUUGAACCAAUGAAAAACCAGAAUAAACUAAACAUGUAGAAAGUAAACUGAAAAUUGCUGCGUACGGGAGUUCGAGUCUCCCCGGCUCCACCA